RNAcentral lists this ribosomal RNA (301 nucleotides) under uncultured bacterium. Its description in RNAcentral is "partial 16S ribosomal RNA". It matches the Rfam family "Bacterial small subunit ribosomal RNA", at positions 509 to 807 of the family's 1533-position model. The record is from RNAcentral.
CAGUAGCCACGGUAAUACGGAGGGGGCUAGCGUUGUUCGGAAUUACUGGGCGUAAAGCGCACGUAGGCGGCUUUGUAAGUCAGAGGUGAAAGCCCGGGGCUCAACCCCGGAAUUGCCUUUGAGACUGCAUCGCUUGAAUCCAGGAGAGGUGAGUGGAAUUCCGAGUGUAGAGGUGAAAUUCGUAGAUAUAGGAAGGAACACCAGUGGCGAAGGCGACUACCUGGACUGAUACUGACACUGAGGUGCGAAAGCGUGGGGAGCAAACAGGAUUAGAUACCCCCGUAGUCCCUGUCUCUUAUAC